UGAGGAAUAUUGGUCAAUGGUCGGGAGACUGAACCAGCCAAGCCGCGUGAGGGAUGAAGGUGCUAAGCAUUGUAAACCUCUUUUGUCAGGGAACAAAGGCAUCCACGAGUGGGUGUGUGAGUGUACCUGAAGAAAAAGCAUCGGCUAACUCCGUGCCAGCAGCCGCGGUAAUACGGAGGAUGCGAGCGUUAUCCGGAUUUAUUGGGUUUAAAGGGUGCGUAGGCGGCCUUUUAAGUCAGCGGUAAAAGCCCGGGGCUCAACCCCUGCGAGCCGUUGAAACUGGCUGGCUGGAGUUGGCGAGAGGUAUGCGGAAUGCGCGGUGUAGCGGUGAAAUGCUUAGAUAUCGCGCAGAACUCCGAUUGCGAAGGCAGCAUGCCGGCGCCACACUGACGCUGAGGCACGAAAGCGUGGGGAUCAAACAGGAUUAGAUACC
This 433-nucleotide ribosomal RNA is filed under the name uncultured bacterium. Its description in RNAcentral is "bacterial SSU rRNA". It matches the Rfam family "Bacterial small subunit ribosomal RNA", at positions 355 to 786 of the family's 1533-position model. The record is from RNAcentral.